Molecule: ribosomal RNA, 270 nt
Filed under: uncultured bacterium
Lineage: Bacteria
Description: partial 16S ribosomal RNA
Rfam family: Bacterial small subunit ribosomal RNA
Source: RNAcentral
UUUGAUGGCGACCGGCGCACGGGUGAGUAGCACGUAUCCAACCUGCCGAUGACUCGGGGAUAGCCUUUCGAAAGAAAGAUUAAUACCCGAUGGCAUAGUUCUUCCGCAUGGUAGAACUAUUAAAGAAUUUCGGUCAUCGAUGGGGAUGCGUUCCAUUAGGUUGUUGGCGGGGUAACGGCCCACCAAGCCUUCGAUGGAUAGGGGUUCUGAGAGGAAGGUCCCCCACAUUGGAACUGAGACACGGUCCAAACUCCUACGGGAGGCAGCAUG